UACGGGGGGAGCAAGCGUUGUUCGGAUUUACUGGGCGUAAAGGGCGCGUAGGCGGUCAGCACAAGUCAGUUGUGAAAUCUCCGGGCUUAACUCGGAAAGGUCAACUGAUACUGUGCGACUAGAGUGCAGAAGGGGCAACUGGAAUUCUCGGUGUAGCGGUGAAAUGCGUAGAUAUCGUAAGGAAGACCAGUGGCGAAGGCGAAUCUCUGGACAGUUACUGACACUGAGGCACGAAGGCCAGGGGAGCAAACGGG
RNAcentral lists this ribosomal RNA (254 nucleotides) under uncultured bacterium. Its description in RNAcentral is "partial 16S ribosomal RNA". It matches the Rfam family "Bacterial small subunit ribosomal RNA", at positions 524 to 776 of the family's 1533-position model. The record is from RNAcentral.